CGUAGGGUGCGAGCGUUAAUCGGAAUUACUGGGCGUAAAGUGUGCGCAGGCGGCCGAGCAAGUCGAGUGUGAAAGCCCCGGGCUUAACUUGGGAAUUGCGCUCGAAACUACUUGGCUUGAGUGUGGCAGAGGAAGGUGGAAUUCCACGUGUAGCGGUGAAAUGCGUAGAGAUGUGGAGGAACACCGAUGGCGAAGGCAGCCUUCUGGGCCAACACUGACGCUCAUGCACGAAAGCGUGGGGAGCAAACAGGAUUAGAUACCCUGGUAGUCCACGCCCUAAACGAUGAUGACUAGUUGUUGGGGGAGUUAAAUCCCUUAGUAACGCAGCUAACGCGUGAAGUCAUCCGCCUGGGGAGUACGGUCGCAAGAUUA
This 372-nucleotide ribosomal RNA is filed under the name uncultured organism. Its description in RNAcentral is "bacterial SSU rRNA". It matches the Rfam family "Bacterial small subunit ribosomal RNA", at positions 526 to 896 of the family's 1533-position model. The record is from RNAcentral.